AGCAGCGUGGCUCAGUGGAAAGAGCAUGGGCUUGGGAGUCAGAGGUCAUGGGUUCGAAUCCCAGCUCUGCCU
RNAcentral lists this transfer RNA (72 nucleotides) under Ornithorhynchus anatinus (platypus). It matches the Rfam family "tRNA". From Rfam's summary of the family: Transfer RNA (tRNA) molecules are approximately 80 nucleotides in length. The record is from Rfam by way of RNAcentral. Lineage: Eukaryota; Metazoa; Chordata; Mammalia; Monotremata; Ornithorhynchidae.